CGAGGCGCCGCGGGCCUCGUAGCGGGCGAGGGAACGCUGCGCCGCCGCGACGUGCGCCAAGGGCUGGCUUAGCGUCUCAGGUGGACGCGGCUCCAGCCGGGACGCCGCCGGGACCGCCGAGCGCAGACCCGAGGCCUGGAGCCCCAGCCUCUGGCUGCCGGCCCGCGCCCCGCGUUCUCCGCGCACUCGGGCCCGCCUCUCGGCCGUUUUCGCUUUCGCUUUCUUGCCGAGAGCGUUGAGGAAAAUGAAAGUGGCAGUGUCCAGAGCCUGCGCGGCAGCCGUCGGGGCGAGGGGCGCACCGUGCGGGGUGCCCAGCCUGGAGCGGGUGAGCCGGAGCCUCAGCCCGCACCCGGCGAGAUGGCAGUAGGCCCUGGACUUCCCUGCCCUGCAGGCAGUGAUGAGGCUGGGCAGCAGAGAAACAAGAAAAUGGACUCCCUCCUCCUGAAGACAAGAAUGCCAGCCACCAGCCAUGGGUGAGCUUCCAGCUUGACCAGAGUUUUUCUCUUAUUUGUUCCACAAUAUUGGUUGUUGUUAUAUAGGAUUGGUAUAGACCACAGUUGUUUGAUUUGGAGGUAGUUUGUUGAUUUUCACAGUUUGUUUAUAAAAACAGAAAAGCAAUA
This 620-nucleotide long non-coding RNA is filed under the name Cervus hanglu yarkandensis (Yarkand deer). RNAcentral describes it as "lncRNA (ENSCHYG00000001821.1)". Lineage: Eukaryota; Metazoa; Chordata; Mammalia; Artiodactyla; Cervidae. The record is from RNAcentral.